UAGAGACGGGGUUUCACCGUGUUAGCCAGGAUGGUCUUGAUCUCACGACCUCGUCAUCCGCCCGCUUCAGCCUCCCAAAGUGCUGGAAUUACAAGUGUGAGCCACCGUGCCCAGCCUGUUUUUUUGCUUUCUAAAUGCUAUGAUCUGAAUAUUUAUGUCCCCGCAAAACUCCUAUGUGGAAACCUAAUCCCAAAUGAGUUGAGGCCUUUGGGAGGUGAUUAGGGCAUGAGGAUGGAACCCUCACAAACAGGAUUAGUGACCUUCUGAAAGAGGCUCAAGGGACUGUGCUCACCCCUUCUGCCAUGUGAGGCCACAUGCAAGGUACUAUCUAUGAGGACGGGCCCUCACCAGACAUGGAAUCUCCUGGCACCUUGAUCUGAGACUUCUCACGUCCAGAACUGUAAGCAAUAAAUGUCUGUU
RNAcentral lists this long non-coding RNA (420 nucleotides) under Homo sapiens (human). RNAcentral's name for it is "HSALNT0232939". The record is from RNAcentral. Lineage: Eukaryota; Metazoa; Chordata; Mammalia; Primates; Hominidae.